RNAcentral lists this ribosomal RNA (253 nucleotides) under uncultured bacterium. RNAcentral's name for it is "partial 16S ribosomal RNA". It matches the Rfam family "Bacterial small subunit ribosomal RNA", at positions 524 to 776 of the family's 1533-position model. The record is from RNAcentral.
UACAGAGGGGGCAAGCGUUGUUCGGAAUUACUGGGCGUAAAGGGCGCGUAGGCGGCCUGCUAAGUCGGACGUGAAAUCCCCGGGCUCAACCCGGGAACUGCGUCCGAUACUGGCAGGCUUGAAUCCGGGAGAGGGAUGUGGAAUUCCAGGUGUAGCGGUGAAAUGCGUAGAUAUCUGGAGGAACACCGGUGGCGAAGGCGGCAUCCUGGACCGGUAUUGACGCUGAUGCGCGAAAGCCAGGGGAGCAAACGGG